GAUGAACGCUGGCGGCGUGCCUAAUACAUGCAAGUCGAGCGAACAGAUGAGGAGCUUGCUCCUCUGACGUUAGCGGCGGACGGGUGAGUAACACGUGGAUAACCUACCUAUAAGACUGGGAUAACUUCGGGAAACCGGAGCUAAUACCGGAUAAUAUAUUGAACCGCAUGGUUCAAUAGUGAAAGACGGUUUUGCUGUCACUUAUAGAUGGAUCCGCGCCGCAUUAGCUAGUUGGUAAGGUAACGGCUUACCAAGGCAACGAUGCGUAGCCGACCUGAGAGGGUGAUCGGCCACACUGGAACUGAGACACGGUCCAGACUCCUACGGGAGGCAGCAGUAGGGAACCUGCCGCAAAGGGCGAAAGCCUGACGGAGCAACGCCGCGUGAGUGAUGAAGGUCUUCGGAUCGUAAAUCUCUGUUAUUAGGGAAGAACAAAUGUGUAAGUAACUAUGCACGUCUUGACGGUACCUAAUCAGAAAGCCACGGCUAACUACGUG
Molecule: ribosomal RNA, 497 nt
Filed under: uncultured bacterium
Lineage: Bacteria
Description: partial 16S ribosomal RNA
Rfam family: Bacterial small subunit ribosomal RNA
Source: RNAcentral